UUACGGUCAAAUCACGCUGAAAACACCGGUUCUCGUUCGAUCACCGAAGUUAAGCAUCCAGGUCAGUAGAGCCAGGUCAGUACUUAGAUGGGGGACCGCUUGGGAACACCUGGUACUGUAAG
Molecule: non-coding RNA, 122 nt
Organism: Acanthosepion pharaonis
Lineage: Eukaryota; Metazoa; Mollusca; Cephalopoda; Sepiida; Sepiidae
Source: the annotation of a GenBank genome assembly